This is a long non-coding RNA of Brienomyrus brachyistius, 1036 nucleotides long. RefSeq lists it as uncharacterized. The record is from RefSeq and is a predicted model, not a curated record. NCBI's taxonomy places the organism in Eukaryota, Metazoa, Chordata, Actinopteri, Osteoglossiformes, Mormyridae. The transcript has 5 exons.
GACUGAUUUCCAUCGUUAGCUAUGAGACGUCGCAUUGCAACGGCGACUUGUGGCAGAUAUUUGAAAACCCAGCGGAAUGGAAGGAAAAAUAUACCCGUCCUGAUUAUUCCAGAAUUUUCACAGAGGACAUCAUUGAGCAGGAUAAACGGCCAACAGCGGGGCAUGAGCCCCUUCUGGCAAGCGGCGUUCAUGUGGCACAGAUGAAUUUCGAGAAGAAGUGGCCGUUCUUUAUCCGGCAGUUCAUUUCACCGGUGAUUGCAAAGGUUUUCUUUGGGUACAGCACAAAGGUUUCUUCAUGGUAAACUUCAUCGCCAAACGCAGUGCAGAGGGUUUGGCCAGUCAGAAAACACGUCAUGACAAGUCAACACUCACCAUGAGCAUCGCACUCAACUACGUAGGCGUGGAUAUUCAGGGAGGUGGCUGUAAGUUGCACAGGUACAACUGCUCGAUCGAGUUUCCGAAGGAGGGGUGGAGCCUGAUGCACCCAGGCACGCUGACACACCUAUGCGAAGGCCUGCCCAUCACCAGCGGCAUGCAGUACGUGGCCAUGUCCUUUAUCAAUCCGUGACUGAGCCCUCAGCUCUCCGCCCUAUCCCCGAGAAUCCUACUACGGGACAAGAAAUGUGCCUCUCGUCUGAAUUCAGGGUGGAGACUGAACUGAUGCAUUUUUGCGAAUCCGUUUUAGAUGAGAUGUUCCUAACUUCUCGGUGACUGUCAGUCUGCGUGGCGAGAGACACAAAGAAAAAUUAAAUAACCUAUCAAUUGGGCAGAAACUUUUUGAUUUCAUUCAAUGCUGAAAGUGUCUGAAAGAUUUAAGAAGAUAAAAGCAAACGGAGAAUACAUGCCGACACAGAAAUAUAUCUGGAGGCUUUCUUAAGUAGUUCAGAGUUGCAGUGGAAGCAGUGGAAGUACUGGGAUUUCAUGCACAAUUCAAGCAAUAUUUUGUAUUUCAGGUGCUUUGUGGCACUAAUGCGAGCCCCGGUUUGAUGUGACCUUCAGCACAGACUGAUUUAAACUUGACCGCGGACCGUGAGUU